AUUGAACGCUGGCGGCAGGCCUAACACAUGCAAGUCGAGCGGAUGAAGGGAGCUUGCUCCUGGAUUCAGCGGCGGACGGGUGAGUAAUGCCUAGGAAUCUGCCUGGUAGUGGGUGAUAACGUCCGGAAACGGGCGCUAAUACCGCAUACGUCCUGAGGGAGAAAGUGGGGGAUCUUCGGACCUCACGCUAUCAGAUGAUCCUAGGUCGGAUUAGCUAGUUGGUGGGGUAAAGGCCUACCAAGGCGACGAUCCGUAACUGGUCUGAGAGGAUGAUCAGUCACACUGGAACUGAGACACGGUCCAGACUCCUACGGGAGGCAGCAGUGGGGAAGAUUGGACAAUGGGCGAAAGCCUGAUCCAGCCAUGCCGCGUGUGUGAAGAAGGUCUUCGGAUUGUAAAGCACUUUAAGUUGGGAGGAAGGGCAGUAAGUUAAUACCUUGCUGUUUUGACGUUACCAACAGAAUAAGCACCGGCUAACUUCGUG
RNAcentral lists this ribosomal RNA (484 nucleotides) under uncultured bacterium. RNAcentral describes it as "partial 16S ribosomal RNA". It matches the Rfam family "Bacterial small subunit ribosomal RNA", at positions 30 to 507 of the family's 1533-position model. The record is from RNAcentral.